AACGACGACGACGACGAUAAAGACGACAACAAACUCAAUGACGAGAACAACAACAACAAUGACAACAACAACGACGACGACACUUGCGAUAACAACGAUAGCAACGACGACAACAACAAGAAACACGACGACUAUGACGAAGGCGACGACGACUACAACAACAACAACAACAACAACAACAACAACGACAACAACAACAACGACAACAACGACGACGGCAAUGAUUGCAGCGAUAACCACAAUGACAGUGAUGAGAACAACGACAACAACGAUAACAACAACAACAACA
Molecule: long non-coding RNA, 289 nt
Filed under: Hordeum vulgare
Lineage: Eukaryota; Viridiplantae; Streptophyta; Magnoliopsida; Poales; Poaceae
Description: long non-coding RNA (HVUL_LNC021617)
Source: RNAcentral